Molecule: unclassified non-coding RNA, 268 nt
Filed under: Ascomycota sp.
Lineage: Eukaryota; Fungi; Ascomycota
Description: partial contains small subunit ribosomal RNA, internal transcribed spacer 1, and 5.8S ribosomal RNA
Rfam family: Eukaryotic small subunit ribosomal RNA (bases 1-47)
Source: RNAcentral
AAAGUCGUAACAAGGUUUCCGUAGGUGAACCUGCGGAAGGAUCAUUAACGAGUUAGGGUCUUUCAGGCCCGACCUCCCAACCCUAUGUUUAUUGAACCUCUGUUGCUUCGGCGGACCCGUCUCACGGCCGCCGGAGGACCGCUGCGAGGCGUCCUCUGGCCAGCGUCCGCCGAUGGCCAACCCACUAAACUCUGAAUGAAUCGUGUCAUAUGUCUAAGUCUAUGAUUAAAUUAAAGCAAAACUUUCAACAACGGAUCUCUUGGUUCUG